RNAcentral lists this ribosomal RNA (1451 nucleotides) under uncultured organism. Its description in RNAcentral is "SSU rRNA". It matches the Rfam family "Bacterial small subunit ribosomal RNA". The record is from RNAcentral.
AGCUACAGGCUUAACACAUGCAAGUCGAGGGGCAGCAUUUCAGUUUGCUUGCAAACUGGAGAUGGCGACCGGCGCACGGGUGAGUAACACGUAUCCAACCUGCCGAUAACUCGGGGAUAGCCUUUCGAAAGAAAGAUUAAUACCCGAUGGUAUAAUCAGACCGCAUGGUCUUGUUAUUAAAGAAUUUCGGUUAUCGAUGGGGAUGCGUUCCAUUAGGCAGUUGGUGAGGUAACGGCUCACCAAACCUUCGAUGGAUAGGGGUUCUGAGAGGAAGGUCCCCCACAUUGGAACUGAGACACGGUCCAAACUCCUACGGGAGGCAGCAGUGAGGAAUAUUGGUCAAUGGGCGCAGGCCUGAACCAGCCAAGUAGCGUGAAGGAUGACUGCCCUAUGGGUUGUAAACUUCUUUUAUAUGGGAAUAAAGUUUUCCACGUGUGGAAUUUUGUAUGUACCAUAUGAAUAAGGAUCGGCUAACUCCGUGCCAGCAGCCGCGGUAAUACGGAGGAUCCGAGCGUUAUCCGGAUUUAUUGGGUUUAAAGGGAGCGUAGGUGGACAGUUAAGUCAGUUGUGAAAGUUUGCGGCUCAACCGUAAAAUUGCAGUUGAUACUGGCUGUCUUGAGUACAGUAGAGGUGGGCGGAAUUCGUGGUGUAGCGGUGAAAUGCUUAGAUAUCACGAAGAACUCCGAUUGCGAAGGCAGCUCACUGGACUGCAACUGACACUGAUGCUCGAAAGUGUGGGUAUCAAACAGGAUUAGAUACCCUGGUAGUCCACACAGUAAACGAUGAAUACUCGCUGUUUGCGAUAUACAGUAAGCGGCCAAGCGAAAGCAUUAAGUAUUCCACCUGGGGAGUACGCCGGCAACGGUGAAACUCAAAGGAAUUGACGGGGGCCCGCACAAGCGGAGGAACAUGUGGUUUAAUUCGAUGAUACGCGAGGAACCUUACCCGGGCUUAAAUUGCAUUUGAAUAUAUUGGAAACAGUAUAGCCGUAAGGCAAAUGUGAAGGUGCUGCAUGGUUGUCGUCAGCUCGUGCCGUGAGGUGUCGGCUUAAGUGCCAUAACGAGCGCAACCCUUAUCUUUAGUUACUAACAGGUCAUGCUGAGGACUCUAGAGAGACUGCCGCCGUAAGAUGUGAGGAAGGUGGGGAUGACGUCAAAUCAGCACGGCCCUUACGUCCGGGGCUACACACGUGUUACAAUGGGGGGUACAGAAGGCAGCUACCUGGUGACAGGAUGCUAAUCCCAAAAGCCUCUCUCAGUUCGGAUCGAAGUCUGCAACCCGACUUCGUGAAGCUGGAUUCGCUAGUAAUCGCGCAUCAGCCAUGGCGCGGUGAAUACGUUCCCGGGCCUUGUACACACCGCCCGUCAAGCCAUGAAAGCCGGGGGUACCUGAAGUACGUAACCGCAAGGAGCGCCCUAGGGUAAAACUGGUAAUUGGGGCUAAGUCAUAAC